GACGAACGCUGGCGGCGUGCUUAACACAUGCAAGUCGACGGUAAGGCCCUUCGGGGUACACGAGUGGCGAACGGGUGAGUAACACGUGGGUGAUCUGCCCUGCACUUCGGGAUAAGCCUGGGAAACUGGGUCUAAUACCGGAUAGGACCACUGCCUGCAUGGGUGGUGGUGGAAAGCUUUUGCGGUGGGGGAUGGGACCGCGGCCUAUCAGCUUGUUGGUGGGGUGAUGGCCUACCAAGGCGACGACGGGUAGCCGGCCAGAAAGGGUGACCGACCACACUGGGACUGAGAUACGGCCCAGACUCCUACGGGAGGCAGCAGUGGGGAAGAUUGCACAAUGGGCGCAAGCCUGAUGCAGCGACGCCGCGUGAGGGAUGACGGCCUUCGGGUUGUAAACCUCUUUCAGCAUCGACGAAGCGCAAGUGACGGUAGGUGCAGAAGAAGGACCGGCCAACUACGUGCCAGCCGCCGCCGUAA
Molecule: ribosomal RNA, 477 nt
Filed under: uncultured bacterium
Lineage: Bacteria
Description: partial 16S ribosomal RNA
Rfam family: Bacterial small subunit ribosomal RNA
Source: RNAcentral